CAUUUUGCAGCUUCUAUUAGGAAUGUGUGAUUCCUGGAGGGGGGGUUUCCGAUCCCCCCACCCGCCCCACCUCUGCCGUGUUCUCUGUGACUGUUGGGGGAGGAUCAUGGAUUAACAGGUCUGCCAAGCUUUUGGGGAGGCAACAUAAAUAGAGCCUUCAGCUCACUUGUCCAGCCCGACUCAGGAAUAUUUUUGAAGUGCUUGGGGAAACAAGAGUGGCAGGGAGUAGAGGAUCGACCUCAAGGGCCCAGAGAACCAUCAGACCCAAACUGGAGGGUCCAUGACCUUGGAGGCUGUUGCAUGGCUGGGUGAUGGGAGAGAGAAAGGGGACUGGGGGUUUCACCCUUUUGGAGUGCAACUUUUCUCCUCAAGGGUGUUCUCUGCACCCUACUCGACUCAUGGUGGGGUGCAGGGCCCAGGUGGGAGGUGGGCAUAUGAGAGCAGGGGUGACUGACUGACAGCAGGAUGCCAAAGCUGAAGAAGGAAGUAUAAAUAUAAAGCAGCCAGUGUAGGACUGGACAGAGGCCAUAUGAAACACACGGUACAUUCCGGCCCCAGCGUAACAAACUGUACCAGGCUUUUGGAGAGCUGGGAGCACUGUGGAGGGGAGGGAAGAGAGCAGAGGUUCCUUCGAGGUUGGCCCUGCCUCCUCCUCCCCCACUUCUCCCACAAGCUCGGGCACCGCAGGGAAAGUCCCGAUGUUCCUUUUGCAACCACAGGAAACCUACUAUCCCUGCUCACACUCUGUACCCAGUGUUCCUCUCAGCAGCUCCAGACUGGGAGGGAGCUGUGCAUGGGGGAGGGAGAGAGCGCUGGCAGGGGGGUGGGGAAUGUAGGCAGCCACAGCAGCCCAGGUAACAGGAGGGAGGUGGCAAGCAUCCCUUGGGACACUAACUCACAGAGUCCCAGCCUGUAAGCCCUGCAAGGAAGGGCCAGAUGGGCAGUGAGGUGUAAGGAAGGAAGUGCCUUGCCCAAGAUCACACAGCCAGUUGUUCACCAGGGUGGGACCAGAGCGCGUCCAGAGCUGGGCAGCACCGGGCAGCUCUCUUGGGUGUACUGUGCAGGCGUGGCAGGCCAGGGAACAGGCAGUGCCCGGGAACCGAGGGUGGGGAGCCCAGAUCCAAGGCUGCCUCUAUGUUCUGGUUAGCUCUGGGCAGGUCUGGCUUGGGCACCAGCCCCUCCACUCCUUCCAAACCUACCCUCCUCCCCCAUCUAAAUAUUAGAGAUAAUGCAUGGAAAGUGGCUAGCAUGGAGGCUGGCUUGUGGUGAUGUCAACUAGAAUGAGUCACCUCCACGCCUCGUCUCUCCUCCUCCACACACACAGCUCAAGGCCUAGAACCUCCUGGGAUCUUUCUCCCGUAUCACCACCUCCUUCCUGAGUCUCUAUAGCUCUUAACGUUUGGUACUCACCACCUGCUGCCUUGGGUUAUUAUUUAACCUCACGAGCUGUGUGUUUGUCUCUUCAACUGGUCUGCAAUCUGCCCAAGGGCAGGAAAUCAUUUCAAUACACCCAACAUUUACUGAACAUCAACUCCAGUGCCAAGCCUGGCCUGUGGGGGAUGAGCUCAAGUGAUGGGGGGAGGCCUCAAAGAGGCUGACUUUGUUUCUGCCUCAAGGACUUUUUAAUCUGGUUAGAACAGGAUUAGUAAACAGAUCACUAGAAUAUGAGACAGGCAACACGCUGUGCCCUGAGAAAGGUACAGACUGAAUGUGCUGGGCAUUGGGAGGGGGAGAGGAAUCAGAUUUGGCAGGCGCUGUUUCAAGCCGGCUUUAGCAGUUGGAGCUUAAGAGAUGGGUAGACUCGGCGGAUGGGCGCCGGUGGCAGGAGAAAUGGCACAGCACACUGUGGAGGUUGGAAGGUGGGAGAUGAAAGGGCUCUCGGAACUGUGUCUUCAACUUUCUAAUGACGUCCUUAGCAGGGCCCAACAGAGCCUUCCAUAUGGUCAGUCAUUGUCCCUGAAGCUGUCUGCAUACCUACAGUGACAGGGACACUCUCAACAAGGCAGCCCACUGCCCUUCUGGACUUCCCUAUAUCCAAGUCCAGUCACCCACGGGACACCUGCCCACACAUGACCUGGAAAUGACUGAACUCGUCCUCAUGUGGCUCACACCAGCUCUUCCCCAUUGCCCACUGUGACUCUCCCAUCCCCCAAACUCACCACGAAGGUUCCACCUUUGGCUCAAAUUCCCACAGCCUCUGCCACACCUUUCUGACCUACGUUUUUCCUUUCUCCUGCCUAGCCUACUGGAAUAAUGUUUCUCAAACGCUGUUUAUUGUGUAUGCUUUCAGCUUCAGACUCCUCAACCAAGCACACUGGGUACACCAGCUGCUCAGCUGUGUGUUCCACAUGAAGGGACCUGGACUCAUUCGUGGUGUGUCCAGAUCACAGAGGCCAGCCCUGGGCCUGGUACCUAGCAGAAGGACAGCAGAUGUUAGUCACGUGACCAACCCACUUGGUUGUGCUUUCUCAUCUUUCUCUCCUGACUCGGUCUCCCCAUUCCCAUCGAACCUGUUGGUUCCUGGUACUUGCUCAGGCCCUUUGGUUUUGAAAAGUCACAAUUUUUAUCUACCAAAUCUUCAGAGAGGGGUGGGAAGGGAGAAGCUGACAUCCAAGUUAACGUCAAGGAGUCUGUGCCAAAUGCCAACUGCAGAGACUUUGAGUGCAGAGUGGAAUGAGUGCAGCUGCCCUGCUGGAAGCCUCUGCUUCCCUAAGAAAUGAAACCCACAGAGGAGGGUGGAAGGCCGAAAGGUGAGUGGCCCAACCAGUGACUUCGGGUUUACAGAGGGAUCUUUUCACAACUGGAGAUUCCAGCCUGCGUAGCUCUGAAUCCCUGGUCUGAUACCCUUAGAUUGUUCUUUCUUGGCACUGCAUUGUGCGUGUGCGCGUGCACACACACACACACACAGUCCCCGUGAUCCUGGCCCAGGCACUUCAAAAUCUACCUCCUGCAGGAAGGCUCUGAUAAUUUCCACCCAACUUUGAUCAUUUUGUCAGCUUCCCUCUGAGCCUUAGGAGCUGCCUUCAAUCUCUUCUCUAUUCUGUUGCUUAGUUAUGUCCUGUAGUAUUUUCAACCCCAUAGAUUAUAAGCUCCUUCAUGGCAGUGAUAGAAUCUUUCAUUUGCUUAUUUAAUAAAAUCUACUUAUUUUGAGGAGGAAGCAUGAGGUAGGACACUCCAACUUUGGAGGCCAUGUAAACCUGGAUCUGGAUUCCAAUACUGGGCUGUUUGGCCUCGGGCAAGUCUCUCAACCUCUCUGAGCCAGUUUCUUCAUCUAUAAAAGUCGCUAGUGAUACUUUGCAGAACGAGGGGUAAAGACUACACAGAGACUACAAAGGGCCAAGAAAUUGCCCGUUGCAUAGUGAUCAGACCAUGGCUUGUCUUCCUUCCCUGUAUGGUUGGAGCCUUUCCUGUAUUGGGGGACAGAGUUCCUUAACUAACCAGUUCUCAUACUGGAACACUUUUAAGCGUGAAAAAGGAUACUAGUAAUCAUUACACCGGUUCCACAG
This is a long non-coding RNA of Zalophus californianus (California sea lion), 3506 nucleotides long. RefSeq lists it as uncharacterized. Lineage: Eukaryota; Metazoa; Chordata; Mammalia; Carnivora; Otariidae. The record is from RefSeq and is a predicted model, not a curated record. The transcript has 3 exons.